RNAcentral lists this unclassified non-coding RNA (5200 nucleotides) under Harpegnathos saltator (Jerdon's jumping ant). RNAcentral's name for it is "potassium voltage-gated channel protein Shal, transcript variant X7". The stretch from base 4368 to 4481 matches the Rfam family "Potassium channel RNA editing signal". The record is from RNAcentral. Lineage: Eukaryota; Metazoa; Arthropoda; Insecta; Hymenoptera; Formicidae.
ACACACUCAUAUACAAACACACACCGACACAAAGUACACACGGGGGCAGUCACGCGCGCGCGUACAUAGCACGCGCGCGUCAUACGCACUGCUCGCGCGCGCGCGCGCGCGCGACGCGUCGCAUCGCGCAGCGGAAGGAGCAGCGAAGAAGCUGUCGGGACGAGAGAGCCGGAGUCGGCUCGCACGGAAUCGCAUCGGGCACGGCGAGGGCCGCCGCGAGCUUGCGAGCGGGGACCGUAGUGCGCGUAAGCUUGCGGAGCAGAGUCGAAGCGAACGGGCGAGGGGGAAGAUCGACGCGCGAGCUCCUAAUACCGGAGCUUGCGGAGGUGCGCUACCUCCUCGGGGAACAUCUCCGUCGUGGAAGCUCUCGGCUGGAGUUGGUGCACUUCCGGUGCCAAUCUGCGAUCGACGACGGCAAGUCGUGAUGAACGAGCGUGUGUGAAGCUUGACAGACUGGAUGCGUCGCGACGGAAACGCACGCGGUGCUUGCGCAAGCUGUCGCGUGUAUCAGUGAGGCAGCUUCGUGCUUGCGCCCGGGUGUUCGCCGGGAGAGCCACGAGGAAAGGAGCCGAAGACGAGGGAAGCCCGGGACCAUACGAGGGCAGGAGACGGACACGGCGCCGGGCGAGCUUGCGCGAUCAGAAAAAGCUCGCGUGUGCUGUCUGGAUGCUGGGCGAUGUACGAGUGAAUAGAAUAGCUCGCAUCGCGGCGUUACGGCUCGAACGGAUGACGCACGCCUCUUUUUGUUGCAACGUGGCACACGGCGGAGUUUUGAAAAAGCACGUCGGGAAGCCGCGGACGCUCUUCUUUCGUUCACUGUUCGGUGUUUACUCGUAAACGUUUUUCUCCCCUCCAUUCGCUGUAAACAGCCACGUCCAUUCUUGUCCCCGCGAGUUCGAACUGCGUGACAGAGAAAGAGAAAGAAAGUAAGAGAGAGAGAGAGAGAGAGAGAGAGAAAGCGCGAGCGGAUAAUAGCCGCGAGAGCUUCGUAGCAAUAGACGAAAUUCUUAUUGUCAGCCAGCUGGCAUUCACCUACAAGCGACGCUCUGAGGGAAGCUCGCGUCUUGAUACAUAGUGUCUUAAAUAACAUUUCGUGAGAAGCUCCACUCGCGCGCACACGAGCGCGCUUCACUCACUGCGGGACGCGCGAGCUGAAUUUUCGGAGCAGGUGUCGUAUCGUCAGAGGCACCGCGAUAUCAAUGACACAAAAGGCCGUGCGAAACGGGCCUCUCGCAAUUCCACACUCAUUGUCUCGAGUGUCCUGAUCGUUCUUAGCCUUUGAAACCGAGGUUCUCGCAUUGCCGAGAGCGGCAGAGAGCGAACGGACGUUUCGUUGCGUGUUUCGUUACGCGAGCUCGCGAAGCUUACCACUUCUCGUGACGAUAGGGACGCGUAUCGACGAGCAAUAUCGACGAGCAAUGCCGUCGGCAGCCGCCUCUUCGACAAGAGCAUCGCUCGCAUCCACGUAGAGACCCGGAGCAGGAGCUCGCAAGCUCGAGAAUGUAGUGUCCUGGUGGACGCAUGCUGGCGGGGACUCAAGCUCAGGUUCUCGCGGUGAAAUUGCACGGCGGCCAAGCGAGCCGAAACAGGUGGAAGAUCUCCGGCGCGAUACGGCCUGAAGAGUAUCGCGAGGAGCUAUCGCAGGGUGGUUAUCGAUGAUGGUGGAAGGCACGUUGCCAAAACGCGAUUGGUUGGCCCGGCGCGCGUCUUCGCUCGACUCGAGCUUUGCUGCGUGCCGGUCGUCACUUCGCUGAACUCGGCGACAUCUCUUCGAGACCGUGUUAGGGAGUCAGAGAGGUAGACAGAUAGAUAAAUAGAGAGAGAGAGAGAGAGAGAGAGAGAGAGAGAGAGAGAGAGAGAGAGAGAGAGAGAGAGAGAAGCAAGGAGAGAAAAAGAAUCACUGAGGACCGCCAGGCGUGAAAUGACGAGCUCCAGACCUGUGCCUGAUCUUAAGCUGUCGACGUCGAUGUUGUCGUCGUCAUCGUCGUGGCGACGUUGGAGAGGCAAGCAUUGCUCGGUCAGUUAAUACGUUUCUUUUUCGGCGUGUCGCUGCGUGACCCGCGACCUCGUAACGACGAAUACGACGAAGUUGCCGACGGGCCUCGGUAACAGAGACUGUUUUGAUAGCUGAAUCUUGAAGAGAGAAAGCGACGAGACAGAGGACCCUAGAAGAAAUCGUUUUUAUUUCCGGGAGGGGAAGCUUCGUCCACGAGAUUGAGUGUAUACGCGAGCGGCAGCAGCGGCCGUAGCGAGUAGGUAAAUAAAUAGAUUCGUAGAUAAAUAAGCGAGCAAAUUAGAUGGAAGUAGCGCGGCCAUCGGGCGCGGGAGAAACGUCUGUAGAGCAAGUAGACCCCAGACGUAAGAGCUAAGACGUGGAGGAGCUCAGCCGUUAGAAGCUGAAGAGAAGUCGAAUUAAAAAUAGGGAUUAGCAACGCGAUCGUUCUUUAAGAAAGAUCUAGUCUCUCUAAUAGUUGUGUUACUAAUCGCGAACUUGAAGAAGCAUGAACCAGACGAAGGUCGAUUUGAGCUGACCUAAGAAUAACCGAGGCGAGAAGUGGCUUGUUCAAACGAGAUCCAGAAAGUGGAUCAUUCGUCAAUAGGAAAACGAUAGAGGAGAGAGAAAGAGAGAGAGAGAGAGAGAGAGAGAGAGAGGGGGGGGAGGAAAAGAAGAGGAAGAAAGAAGAGGAAAAGAGAAAAAGAGAGAAGAAAAAAAGUCUUCAAGUUCAAAGGUUUUAUUGCAUCUGAUUGUAGAAGAUAUAUUUGGAAAGCUGCCAGUUAAGAGUAUCAGAAUCCCGUUCCCGAUUUGUUGCGAGAAAGGGUAUUUAGAUAUCGACAAACGAGAUAUCGCGCGCAAACGGUGCAAAGCACCGUGAAUUUUAGAAGAGUCCUUCGUAAAUGUCGGGAUCAUCGUGAACUUGAAGAAAUACUCCUCACACACACACACACACACACACACACACACACACAGUCGGAGGGUUCCUCGUUCUUCGACGGGAUCGAUUGUCGUCGGGACGAUCGACGCGCGUGCAAGUCUGAUUGUCGAUGUUAGACUAAUCGUAGACUCGAGUAUUCAUUCUGAGAAGAGGAAGAGAAAAAGUGAGGCUUGAGACGGACGUAUCGGACGUAUCGAGUUGAGGCAAGGCGGGAGUAGAGCGCACGACGACGGCGACGACGGCGACGACGAGGACGACGCUUUUGAAACUCGGUCGACGCUCUGGCUCUCCCGCACUCCCUGAAGGAAGAUUCCACCUUCAAGCAUGGCCUCGGUGGCAGCGUGGCUGCCGUUCGCUCGCGCGGCGGCGAUCGGUUGGGUGCCGAUCGCCGCACACCCACUGCCACCGCCGCCGAUCCCGAAGGACCGGCGCAAGGCCGACGACGAGAAGCUGCUGAUCAACGUGAGCGGUCGCCGCUUUGAGACAUGGCGCAACACCCUGGAGAAGUACCCGGACACGUUGCUCGGCUCAAACGAGCGCGAGUUCUUCUACGACGAGGAGAGCAAGGAGUACUUCUUCGACCGGGACCCGGACAUCUUCCGGCACAUUCUCAAUUACUAUAGGACCGGUAAGCUGCAUUAUCCGAAGCACGAGUGCCUGACGAGCUACGACGAGGAGCUGGCGUUCUUCGGCAUCCUGCCGGACGUGAUCGGCGACUGCUGCUACGAGGACUACCGGGACCGCAAGCGCGAGAACGCCGAGCGGCUGAUGGACGACAAGCUGAGCGAGAACGGCGACCAGACGCUCCAGCAGCUGCUCGACAUACGGCAAAAGAUGUGGCGGGCCUUCCAGAACCCGCACAUCUCCACUGCCGCCUUGGUAUUCUACUAUGUAACCGGGUUCUUCAUCGCCGUGAGCGUGCUGGCGAACGUGGUGGAGACUGUGCCGUGCGGUAACCGUCCGGGACGCGCCGGCACCCUCUCGUGCGGCGAGCGUUACAAGAUCGUGUUCUUCUGCCUCGACACCGCGUGCGUGAUGAUAUUCACCGCCGAGUACCUGCUGAGGCUGUUCGCCGCGCCCAGCCGGUGCAAAUUCGCGCGCUCCGUGAUGUCGAUUAUCGACGUGGUCGCGAUACUGCCGUACUACAUCGGGCUCGGGAUCACCGACAACGACGACGUGUCGGGCGCGUUCGUGACGCUGCGCGUGUUCCGCGUGUUCCGUAUCUUCAAGUUCUCGCGGCACUCGCAGGGACUGCGGAUCCUGGGCUACACCCUCAAGUCCUGCGCCUCCGAGCUGGGUUUCCUCGUGUUCUCGCUCGCGAUGGCCAUUAUCAUCUUCGCCACCGUCAUGUUCUACGCGGAGAAGAACGUCGACGGCACCAACUUCACCUCGAUACCCGCCGCCUUCUGGUACACCAUCGUCACGAUGACUACGCUGGGAUACGGUGACAUGGUUCCGAAAACGAUCGCGGGAAAAAUCGUGGGGGGUGUAUGCUCCUUGAGCGGUGUCCUAGUGAUCGCUUUACCGGUACCUGUUAUCGUCAGUAAUUUCAGCAGAAUAUAUCAUCAAAACCAACGUGCCGACAAACGGAAGGCGCAGAGGAAAGCCAGAUUGGCGCGUAUCAGAAUCGCGAAGGCGUCGAGCGGCGCCGCCUUCGUGAGCAAAAAGAAGGCAGCGGAGGCGCGUAUAGCCGCUCAGCAGAGCGGACUGCAGCUGGAGGACUACAAGGAGGAGGAUAUCUUCGAGCUGCAGCAUCAUCACCUACUUCGCUGCUUGGAGAAGACUACGGACCGCGAGUUCGUGGAGAUGGAAGUGCCGUACAACGGCGCCCCGAAGAGGCCGGGCUCGCCGUCACCCCUGACCUCCCCUGCGCACAGCACUGCCUCCAGGGGCGGCCUGCUGCAUUCCUGCUGCGGGCGCUGCUACCCCCAACGUUACCAGCACUGCCGCCGAGGGUUCGAAUUCUGAAUUGGUACUCUCAGAAAUCAGGCGAUAAUCUCGAUUCUGAUCUCCCCACGAGGUCGCGGCGACUCCAAUCGGAUCUUGUAUCACCGAUGUUUCGCUCAUUUGGUGCCCGGAGAUUUAUCGUCGAUAAUGUCCAGAUUGGCAGACCGACCAGGUGUGACGGAAUACGGCAAACAUCUCGAGAUCCGCUACGUUAUACAGUUAAUGAAUUAAAUCUCUAGGAUUGCUCAGGACCUAAAGAAGCGCGGUUCCCACACCUGCGACAUGCAGGUCCUACAGCCACUUCCGGUCCCCACCAACAC